This 497-nucleotide ribosomal RNA is filed under the name uncultured bacterium. Its description in RNAcentral is "partial 16S ribosomal RNA". It matches the Rfam family "Bacterial small subunit ribosomal RNA", at positions 28 to 507 of the family's 1533-position model. The record is from RNAcentral.
GAUGAACGCUGGCGGCGUGCCUAAUACAUGCAAGUCGAGCGAACAGACGAGGAGCUUGCUCCUCUGACGUUAGCGGCGGACGGGUGAGUAACACGUGGAUAACCUACCUAUAAGACUGGGAUAACUUCGGGAAACCGGAGCUAAUACCGGAUAAUAUAUUGAACCGCAUGGUUCAAUAGUUAAAGACGGUUUUGCUGUCACUUAUAGAUGGAUCCGCGCCGCAUUAGCUAGUUGGUAAGGUAACGGCUUACCAAGGCAACGAUGCGUAGCCGACCUGAGAGGGUGAUCGGCCACACUGGAACUGAGACACGGUCCAGACUCCUACGGGAGGCAGCAGUAGGGAAUCUUCCGCAAUGGGCGAAAGCUUGACGGAGCAAUGCCGCGUGAGUGAUGAAGGUCUUCGGAUCGUAAAACCCUGUUAUUAGGGAAGAACAAAUGUGUAAGUAACUAUGCACGUCUUGACGGUACCUAAUCAGAAAGCCACGGCUAACUACGUG